GAUGAACGCUGGCGGUCUGCUUAACACAUGCAAGUCGAACGGAGUAGAAAUACUUAGUGGCGGACGGGUGAGUAACGCGUGAGAAUCUGCCUUCAGGACGGAGACAACAGUUGGAAACGACUGCUAAGCCCCGAUGAACCGAAAGGGAAAAUAUUUAUAGCCUGAAGAUGAGCUCGCGUCCGAUUAGCUAGUUGGCGGAGUAAAAGCCCACCAAGGCGACGAUCGGUAGCUGGUCUGAGAGGACGAUCAGCCACACUGGGACUGAGACACGGCCCAGACUCCUACGGGAGGCAGCAGUGGGGAAUUUUCCGCAAUGGGCGAAAGCCUGACGGAGCAAGACCGCGUGGGGGGAAGAAGGCUCUUGGGUUGUAAACCCCUUUUCUCUGGGAAGAAAGUUGUGAAAGCAACCUGACGGUACCAGAGGAAUCAGCAUCGGCUAACUCCGUGCCAGCAGCCGCGGUAUGUGUCUACU
RNAcentral lists this ribosomal RNA (472 nucleotides) under uncultured bacterium. Its description in RNAcentral is "bacterial SSU rRNA". It matches the Rfam family "Bacterial small subunit ribosomal RNA", at positions 28 to 527 of the family's 1533-position model. The record is from RNAcentral.